AAGAGUGGGAAAGUAGAGUAUCAAUUCAGCAGGAAGAAGCUGCUAGAAAUUGUACAACAAAAUACUAAAGCUUUUGUUGCUCAUGGAGAUCUUCAACAAAACCAAUUGUCACCACCUAGGUCUCCAUUAGUUCACUCAACUGCAAAUGGAAAUGCAACUGGAAGUGAUAAAUGAACACAUGAAGGUAUUAUUAUGCUUAUAUCUGUCUUGUAGACCUUUGCUUUUGAGUUAUGCACUCAAUUUUUGUAUGCUUUUCAACUUUGGUUAGGAACUUACAAUUAUUCAGUGAUGCUUUUUGUGGUAUCGUUAAGCUGCCAUAAUGAUAUUGCACAACAAAAUAGUAAAGCUUUUGCUGCUCAUGAAGAUCUUCAACAAAACCAAGUGUCACCACAUAUGCCUCCAUUAGUUCACUCAACUGCAAAUGGAAAUGCAAAUGGAAGUGAUAAAUGAACACAUGAAGGUAUUAUUAUGCUUAUAUCUAUCUUGUUGACCUUUGGUUUUGAGUUAUCCACUCAAUUUCUGUAUGGUUUUCAACUUUGGUUAGGAACUUACAAUUAUUCAGUGAUGCUUUUUGUGCUAUCGUUAAGCUUUAGUUAUGUAGCCAUGUAUCUUCUAAUAUUUGCUUACCUUUGGACCUAAACCUAACUCCUAACUAUUUAUAUGGAACUGCAAAUGUGCUACACACUGACUAUAACUGCAGGCAGAGGUAACACGGACUUCAUUUAUACAAAAAUGAAUCGGGUUAAUUGUCCUGAUGUUUGGACAUUACAUCCCAUGCCUUAUGCUGGUACUUCUGCUUCACUCAAUACCAAUGUUUCCAACAUACAAAAGAAAAGCCGCCAUUCAGAGCUACCAGGUACAGAUAAUUUAUCACGCUUAUUCUUACAUUUCCUUUGUUACCUCUCACAUUCAACCCACAUCUGAAGUUAGCACUAAUGAUUUACUCAAUUUCUAAAUGUUUUUACAUCCAUUGUUCAACAUAUAUUGCAAAUGAAGAAAAUCUAAAUUAUAUUUUUUUUGUUAUACCAAUAGAGCAGUAGUAAUCUGUCUGUCGUUGUCAACUUACUAUUUCGGC
This 1075-nucleotide long non-coding RNA is filed under the name Solanum tuberosum (potato). RNAcentral describes it as "long non-coding RNA (STUB_LNC011059)". The record is from RNAcentral. Lineage: Eukaryota; Viridiplantae; Streptophyta; Magnoliopsida; Solanales; Solanaceae.